RNAcentral lists this ribosomal RNA (502 nucleotides) under uncultured bacterium. Its description in RNAcentral is "partial 16S ribosomal RNA". It matches the Rfam family "Bacterial small subunit ribosomal RNA", at positions 30 to 523 of the family's 1533-position model. The record is from RNAcentral.
AUUGAACGCUGGCGGAAUGCUUUACACAUGCAAGUCGAACGGCAGCACGGGUGCUUGCACCUGGUGGCGAGUGGCGAACGGGUGAGUAAUACAUCGGAACGUACCCUGACGUGGGGGAUAACGUUGCGAAAGUUACGCUAAUACCGCAUACGUCCUGAGGGAGAAAGCAGGGGAUCGUAAGACCUUGCGCGUUAGGAGCGGCCGAUGGCGGAUUAGCUAGUUGGUAGGGUAAAGGCCUACCAAGGCGACGAUCCGUAGCGGGUCUGAGAGGACGACCCGCCACACUGGAACUGAGACACGGUCCAGACUCCUACGGGAGGCAGCAGUGGGGAAUUUUGGACAAUGGGCGAAAGCCUGAUCCAGCCAUUCCGCGUGAGUGAAGAAGGCCUUCGGGUUGUAAAGCUCUUUCGGCAGGGAAGAAACGGUUUUGGAUAAUACCCAGAACUAAUGACGGUACCUGAAGAAGAAGCACCGGCUAACUACGUGCCAGCCGCCGCCGUAA